AUUCCGAACACGCCAACUUUUCUUCGAGAAAAACGGGAAUUGGGAAAAAACAUCGACCGCAUUUUUCUAUCGUAGUUUAGUCGAACAAGAAUCACGUCUUACUUGGUUGAAUAAUUGAUGAAUCAACUAUAGGCCAAACACCAUUUUUAUAAUCUAAUGAUUAACAUAAAAUAUAAAUAAAGUGACUACUGUUGGAUGUCAAGACUAUUAAGAACACACCAUGCGUUUAUCUGCUAUUUUAAAUACCAAUCCUAAUAAUGAGUACUAAUUUGAUUAUUUAUUGGUGCUUCAAGUGUUUAAGGGAAUAUGGAAUCGCUUAACUACGAUGUUAAAAUUAGCCUCCAUGGUCACCAAGUCCCACUCAACGUGAUUUUCACCUUUGGAAAUUCAUCUAUUAUCGUUUGAAUGUACUUCCGCUGAGAUUCCGUGAUCAGCUGUUCCAACUGAAGACACUGAGAUCAACAAAUUCAAGUCCAUUCCAAGCUAGGUGCGUUCCAUAUUAACAGAGAUUGAAACGAUUAAAUCAAUAGCUAGAGCAACCCUCUGGGAUAGAUCUACGACCAAAUAACAGAUGUAGUCAGAUGGGUGCAAAAACUACCAGAAUUUAGGCAAGUAGACCUCCGAAGAACUGGAUCAAAUCAUGGACAUCGACAACUCAAGACGGAGACUCCAAAUAAUACAGAACACUAACAUAAAUAGAAGAAUAAGAUUAUGGUUAACGUUUAGGAAAAACUUGGCUGUACACUUGAUAUGCCCCCGAUAAAACUGUUUUAGUUGCUAUUCAAAAUAUAUCUACUUCCGUUUAAAUUAAUAAUUGAAUCGAUUCGAAGGAUAGAUGUUUGAGUUGUUGACAUCGACAUAAAAACAAAUUCAAUAAAUAAUUUUUGUGUCUCACAAAUCCCUUGUUUCUCAACGUUUCUCUACCAAUUUCCAUUCCAUGAUUUAUUUAGUUCCACUCGCUAUAAUUCGGAGAUUUAGUGAUACUUUCGAUGAGAAAAUUCUGCUCAAUAAACUUGAAUGAAUAAUAAAGAAUCCAUAUUAUCAUAAAAAAUACAAAUGGCACCAUCGAUGUAAUUAAUCUAACACUCAAUAUUCCAUGCUGUCUGUAUAAAGUUGUUGUUUUCGUAUAAAAAGCACUUUGUGAUGGUACAAGUCAGUGGUAAUCGUGUUUUUAUAUCUUUGUAUCGAAUGCGAACUAUUGAAAAGGAAAUAUGUUAAAUUCAGAGUGCAUCACUUCUGGAAUCGAACUUGAUUGACUAUUCAUAUAGACUAGAAUUUUAGGAAAUUGUGGAAAGGUUAUUAGAGAGGUGACCGGACACUCGAUGAUGACACGUACUCUACGAGACAUGUCCUGAAAUUAAACACCAAUCCAAAACGGAUUCACACAAUUUUCACCUUGAUGGGAUGGGAUGGACUCUAGUAUUUUGAUCAAAUUACUUGUUGUAGCUCCAUUGGACUUAUGCCGUGUUCUCCAAAGUGAAUUUUCGACUUUCUAAAAGAUAAAGAAGUCACUGCAAACCAAAUUUGGUUAAUACGUUAGUUAAGUCACAAUAUACGUUUCAUGUUUGGUCAAAAAAUUGUUGACAAUCAUGUUGUUCAUUACCAUGAAUCAUAGCCGAAUAAAAACGAUCGAGUAGUACCGUUCGACCCUCUGGAAUGAAUUCAUGGUACCACUAGAGUCGAAGAAGACGAUUAUCAUCAAGUUUUAUAUACAUACGUCUCGUUAUUAAUGAUGAUGUAUCUUUCCAGACUUUAAAUUUGACAAGCUUUAUAUCCAAAACAGCUUCUAAUUCUCUAGAAGACCUAGAUACUUCCAGUAUCCAAGAGUAUUGUUUCCACAGGCUCCAAAGCAUAUCCUUAGGAUGUUAUACUCAUUACAGAAGAGAGCAAUUUGACUUGUAGGUGACCCAGAGUUAACCAGAAGCGGCUUCCAGCAUAAUCCCAUCUAGAGUAGACCUACUCGAUAGGUAGACGUGGCUCAUGAAGACCAAGAUCACCUGCAAACUCUCAGAACAAGCCUGUGGAAUCAGCUACCUGAACACUACUACUACUAUAUUAUUCUCGUUAAUUUAGUCAUUCCAAAGUGGUAGUUAUCAAUUCCUGCAGCUUCAGGUAAAUGCCAAUAAAUAAAUAAUUGAUGAAGCAAAAGCAAAUGACAGUGAUUGACGCAAGCAAGCUGAUAUCAAUACUAACUAUAUUAAUGAAGAAAUAACUGAUGUAUUAUUUUUUCUUGGAAAAAAGUAUAUAUAUUCUGCAAGGAGAAAGUAGAGAUGAAGAAAUAGUAUAAAAACUUCAUUGACUCAAUCAAUACGAUAGAAUAUGUUCAAAUUUACUCCAACUUCAAAGAAUGGCUUCAAUUAUAGUGUUUUUAGGGCAAGGAGAACCAGAUGGCAGAUAAAAAUCCAUAUUCCGCAGAGCUGUCUGUAUGGAAGGUUCGAUAAAAUUGCAAAUCCGCUGAAAUGAAUUAUAAUUUUUGGUUGAUCCAUCUAAAUGUUGAUUCCAAACAACAUUUUGACAUAUUUGUCACAUUUUAGAGAAGAGAAAAAUCUCGCAAAACUUAUUUAUACAUUCAGUUGAUAAAUAAUUUCCCUUUCAACGAUUUUGGACCCGUUUACUGAACGUCGUUAUAUCAAACUACGUGGGAGUUUACUCAAAACUUCAACUCCCUGAGAAAUCGUUGUAAUAUACCGAUGGAUAUCGUAGAUUGUGCUCCGUUUCUACAUAAUUACGUUCAUUAUAUUUUAUUUACCCAAGGGAACCAUUUCAAGAUGCCGACACCUGCUACCCUAAGAGGAUCUUUCAUUCUAUUCUAGUAGCUGCGAUAAGAUUCUUACCAUAAUGGUUCAAUCCUUUUUUAUUUAAACUUGCAGCUUAUGAAAGUAGUACUUGCAUACGACAAAGAUGAUUAUUUAUAAAAACAAUGAAUUCGAAAUACAGGUUCAUCCCAUUGAAAAUACUUUCCAUUACAACUUAUCAUUCCUGCCCCAACGAAGCAGCUUCCACUUGUUGAAACAGUUAUAUACUUAUCUGUAGAAAUUACUGACGGCUUCUCUCAUGUCUUUCGAGACCAGGUGGGGCAAUUAGGUGCGUAAAAUUGCCAAAAAGUCAGUCGAACAUCUACAAUUGUUAUAAUAGAAUAACCUGUGUCCUAUAUGCUAAGAAUCUGAUGAAAAUUCUCUUCAAAUUUGAUCGACACUCCAAAGUGUGAAAACAAAUCUUCUUUAACUACGCCUUUGGCAUUGAAUUGAUAAUAAUUUGAGCUGACUAACACGUAAUUUGUAGUACAAAUCUCCUCAGAAAACUCUUCUGAAAAUGACCUAUUUGGUCUUGUUGUUGAAUAUUUUUAUGAUUCAUAGAAAAUUUAUUAGUCUUGCAAAACCAACACUAAAUUUUCUGCAGCGCUGCAUAAUAUUCCUCACCUUUUUGAACAAUUAACAAUGCGGAAGUUAAUUAAACGUUUUCCAAGGGUUAUAUCCAAUAAAAAAUGCAAAACAGAGUCUUUUUAUGGUAGUAGUAGUUUUAUUAUAUGGCUUAUCUUAUUUCAUAUUUCAUAAAUUAAAUUGACUGAAGCAACUGAAAAUUGUUCAGUCCAGGAGUUCGAAUACCUGGGAGUGACAGUGACAAAUGAAGGACGUCAAGCCAGGUAAAUCGACACGUGAAACCCUAGGAAAACUAUUUAGAUCAAAAGAUGUUUCAAGAGCUGCCAAAUUCAUAAAACAGUCAUACAACCAUCGGUCAGUACUUCAUCAUCAACAAAAAAAUUAUUUAUUCAAUUGCUUCAAAUUAUUUACAGACGAAAAUUUAUGUGAAAAUGUUGAUGACGAUGUUGAGAAAUCUAAGAUUUAUAUGACAAGGAAAAUCGACCGCCAGUAGAGAAAGUUCUUCGUGGUUCCAGUUGACAACGAUUACCUUGAACUGAGUCGGAACUCAUUAAGGAAACUAUUGAAGAAAAUAGGAAAAAAACAUUCCAGAAAUUCUAUUUUCAUAGAGAGCAAUGAAAAACUUCAUUCAUCGUAAACUAUUUUGGAAUAUUCUCAAUAUACAAACAGUUUUCACAAGAUUUCUUAAUUAGUUUUUCAUUGGGCACUGCAUCUGAAGAUGUAGCAGUCUCUUCAAGAAUUCUGAUAACGAAGGCUUCACAUCAAUGGAAAGGUUUAUUCUUCCAUCAAUUUUGAUUCAAAUUUGCUGAGAAAAAUAUUUCUUGGGUCAGGAGCUUCUGAUGGUGUUCAUUAUAUGAUAGAAAUUACCUCGGGCUAUCUUGUUAUUGUUUCAGCCUAGUAACCAGAGUAUAUUUUGGAAUCAAAACUCUUUUUGGAAACCGAGCUGGGUACUUCCUAUAGCCUACGAAAACUCUUGAGGACAGGAAUGUCAUUUUUGUUGCUAAGUAACUUGAUUUUCUACAUAUCAAUUUACAAGUUCACGAAAAACAAACACGUUCGAUUUCCCAUCAACGCUCCAUGCCCCGGAUCCGUACCAAGGGCAUUCUAGGUGCCAUCAGCAGUCAACGUGUUAAGUAAAUAAUUAAAUGAGAUAACUAAAAUUUCAUUAGUUCACUGGUAUAUAUUUUUAAAAAUAAUGUUUUCAUCUCCGAAACGUUUAUGACGAAAUCAAAAAUUUCCCGUUGACGGUUCUAUUAAAAGUGUCAUAAAAACUUUAUCACUUUUAUAAAGAUAAUUUAUUUUGGUUUUUUAUUAUAUGUGAUAGGAAACACAUGAUAUUUUUAUAACUUCAUUACAUUUCAGUUUUAUAGCAGGUAUUAAAUUCAGUAACGUUUACUGGUGAUGCCGCCAACGUCGAAUAUUGAGUUUCAGAUCAAUUCUAUUGAAUGAUGAUGCAGUUUUUUUCUCAUGAACAUAUAAACUUUAAUCACCAUACAGGAUGUCUCGAAACUAGUUAAAUAAAUAAAACUAGAUACUGUAUACCGUUUUCGGAAUAUUUUGAUUCGAAAAUUAUGAAGUAAUAACCAAUUAAACAGAAGAAAAUUUAAAGAAAGGGUAAUAACAUAAUAAAAAUUCAAAUAAAGUUCUCUGUUUUCACAAAAGUUUAUCCUUUUUUUCUAAAGAAUCCAUUAAUCUUCUAAACGGUUGAGAAUCAGCUAGGAGGUCGUUAAAGUCUUUCAAUUCUUGAGGUUAAUUCACUUCUGUACCAUAAACUUUCAAUUUAAGAUACGAACAAACUGUGUAAUCAAAGGGAUUUAAAUCUGAUGAUCGAGGAGGCUAAUGAAUCGGAGCUUCCAUACCUCUACCAAUCCAUCGAUUCGGAAAAUCAUCUAAUAAGUGAUAAUACAUUUUAAAAAUUUUGGAUUGUAAUGUUUGAUAAAAAUCCACUCCAACCGGUAGAUCGUCUGGCAAGAGCUCUUAGACUUGUUUGUAAUGUUUUUCAAGUAUUUGAAGAAGUUAUUGGAAGCUUUAGUAUAAUAGUAUGAUUAUAAAUAGUUGUUUGUUUUAUACUGAGGUCUCCAAUAACUCAGUGCCCAUACUUUGAAAAAACAAGAUCCUGUGCUGAUUAGAUUGGAUUUCUGUGAAACGUUACAAGAAACGAAAGCUCUAAGUCCCCAAUUCUCGCGAUGGAAAAUCUUCAAUUCACAUAAUGCUUACUAAUUAAUGAUAAUAAUAAUCAAUAACUUCACCAUUUUGAUGUCAAAUUUCGCUUACUAAAUCUAAUAUUGAAAAAGUUAUAUACCACUUGGUUAGUUGAACAGUUAGCGCCCUCUAUGAGAAUCAGACGUAAAAGCAAAUUUUUUGGAUGUAUCAGCUUCCAAAACAUUCUUUUUCUUCAAAGCUUUUUGUCUUGAAUACAGAGAAUUUUUUACUGAGCAAAUCCCAAGUAUUUUCAAGCUUUCUAUCUUAAAGACGGAAUCAUCUUUUUUAAAACACCCUGUAGUUUCAUGGAAAUCUACAAUGGUGUAGAGUGACUCAUAGAAACUUUUUAUGUUUAAGUUUUAUGAUCAAGUUCAAUACAGAAUAUAGUAAACAAUUUUUUUGUAAAAUGAGUAACAAGAUUUGUAGGACGAAUUUUUUUCUAUGUCGUUUUUCAAUUGAAUAUAAAUUGUACAACUAAUCAAUUUAUAUGAUAGAAACACUACAAUAUUGUUUAACAAUCAUCUUUUAUGUCAUAUUAUCAUUAUUUCGUGAAAUAUUAACGAAAAUGUAAUUGGGUCAUGAGUGCAAAUGCAACACGAAUCUGCAUAGAGAACCCGCAUUUCCAAACUCUGAACUACAGUUCCCGGAUAAUUGAUCAUGCAUCAAAUAAGAGCAGACUUUUUCAUUAGAGCUUUCCAGUAUCAUCAGUGCUUCUGUUAUAUUGUAUAAUGAGAAUUGAAUAGAUUGUUAAUUAAAAAUGGACACUGUCAACAAAAGGAAUAACGGAUGUUGAUAAAUACAGUUACUAUACAAGAUGUGAACGAAAACUUGUUUUCGUCCUGGAUAUUUUUACAAAUGCAAUUAUUACGACUUUAUCCAUUCAACAACUUUGUUUGAAUUUUUAUGUUUUCUGUAAAUAGGAGCUUAAUUUUCCAGAAAUUGUUGCUAUUAUUGAAUAUUAGUUAAAUAAUAAUAAGCCUGUUCUUGUCAAAAACUAUACCACAGUAACCAGCUUCAAUAUAAUCGAUUUAUUUCAUGGAAUUAUUAUGAUCUUGUCCACAUAAACGAUUUUUUCGAAAUAGUACAGUUCAAUGAAUUAAUUUCUGAGAAAGUAUUCGAAUUUUCUAUCGUUUACUUGUUGUUGUUUGUAUUUACAGAACACCAAACACUGACGUGCAUACUUUCUGUCACAAACUACUGAUUUUACUAGAGUCCUUAUCUCUAAAAAGCAAAAUGAGCAGCAGACUUUUGCCUACCUACUCCACGUGCAGUAUUUGUUAAAGGCUCAAUAUUUUACAAUGCAAAAAACGCACAAUCACUUGCCAAUUGAAAUCAAAUCGAUACCAUCUUUUUCGGCGUUCCGAAAUAAUUUGAAAGCAUAUUUACUGGAAAGUUCCUUCUAGUCUGUAAUCGACUUCUCUUCAAAUAAUAAUGUUUAAUUCCGAACACGCUGUAUACUGGUUUAAUUUAUGCUUAUUAUUACCUAUCAAUAUUACUCACAAUUGUGGUUUUAUUCUGUAUAUUGAAGUUUUAUUGUAUUUGUAUCUUCAUUUAGUUAUUUCUAUGUCUGUUUUUUAGUUUUUGCUUGCUUUUGUCAACAAAAUGUAACAAUUUUUUUACAAUAAAGCAUUUCUCUCUA
This is a long non-coding RNA of Diorhabda carinulata, 7221 nucleotides long. RefSeq lists it as uncharacterized. Lineage: Eukaryota; Metazoa; Arthropoda; Insecta; Coleoptera; Chrysomelidae. The transcript is spliced from 3 exons. The record is from RefSeq and is a predicted model, not a curated record.